RNAcentral lists this ribosomal RNA (578 nucleotides) under uncultured Arcobacter sp. RNAcentral's name for it is "bacterial SSU rRNA". It matches the Rfam family "Bacterial small subunit ribosomal RNA", at positions 69 to 664 of the family's 1533-position model. Lineage: Bacteria; Pseudomonadati; Campylobacterota; Epsilonproteobacteria; Campylobacterales; Arcobacteraceae. The record is from RNAcentral.
AGAUUAGCUUGCUAUAGUUGUCAGCUAAGUGGCGCACGGGUGAGUAAUGUAUAGAUAACCUGCCCUCUAGAAAGGAAUAACAGUUGGAAACGACUGCUAAUGCCCUAUAUGCCUUUAAUACAUAAGUAUGCAAGGGAAACGCUUUAGUGCUAGAGGAUGGGUCUGUAUGGUAUCAGCUAGUUGGUGAGGUAAUGGCUCACCAAGGCUAUGACGCCUAACUGGUUUGAGAGGAUGAUCAGUCACACUGGAACUGAGACACGGUCCAGACUCCUACGGGAGGCAGCAGUGGGGAAUAUUGCACAAUGGACGAAAGUCUGAUGCAGCAACGCCGCGUGGAGGAUGACACAUUUCGGUGCGUAAACUCCUUUUAUAUAGGAAGAUAAUGACGGUACUAUAUGAAUAAGCACCGGCUAACUCCGUGCCAGCAGCCGCGGUAAUACGGAGGGUGCAAGCGUUACUCGGAAUCACUGGGCGUAAAGAGCGUGUAGGCGGGUAUAUAAGUCAGAAGUGAAAUCCUAUAGCUUAACUAUAGAACUGCUUUUGAAACUGUAUACCUAGAAUGUGGGAGAGGUAGAUGG